GAUGAACGCUGGCGGCGUGCCUAAUACAUGCAAGUCGAGCGAACGGACGAGAAGCUUGUUUUUCUGAUGUUAGCGGCGGACGGGUGAGUAACACGUGGAUAACCUCCCUAUAAGACUGGGAUAACUUCGGGAAACCGGAGAUAAUACCGGAUAAUAUUUUGAACCGCAUGGUUCAUUAGUGAAAGACGGUCUUGCUGUCACUUAUAGAUGGAUCCGCGCUGCAUUAGCUAGUUGGUAAGGUAACGGCUUACCAAGGCAACGAUGCAUAGCCGACCUGAGAGGGGGAUCGGCGACACGGGAGCGGAGACAGGGUCCAGGCUCCUGCGGGAGGCAGCAGUAGGGAAUCUGCCGCAAUGGUCGAAAGCCUGACGGAGCAGCGCCGCGUGAGUGAUGAAGGUCUUCGGAUCGUAAAGCUCUGUUAUUAGUGAAAAACAUAUGUGUAAGGAACUGUACACAUCGUGACGGUACCUAAUCAGAAAGCCACGGCUAACUACGUG
This 497-nucleotide ribosomal RNA is filed under the name uncultured bacterium. Its description in RNAcentral is "partial 16S ribosomal RNA". It matches the Rfam family "Bacterial small subunit ribosomal RNA", at positions 28 to 507 of the family's 1533-position model. The record is from RNAcentral.